GAUGAACGCUGGCGGCGUGCCUAAUACAUGCAAGUCGAGCGAACGGACGAGAAGCUUGCUUCUCUGAUGUUAGCGGCGGACGGGUGAGUAACACGUGGAUAACCUACCUAUAAGACUGGGAUAACUUCGGGAAACCGGAGCUAAUACCGGAUAAUAUUUUGAACCGCAUGGUUCAAAAGUGAAAGACGGUCUUGCUGUCACUUAUAGAUGGAUCCGCGCUGCAUUAGCUAGUUGGUAAGGUAACGGCUUACCAAGGCAACGAUGCAUAGCCGACCUGAGAGGGUGAUCGGCCACACUGGAACUGAGACACGGUCCAGACUCCUACGGGAGGCAGCAGUAGGGAAUCUUCCGCAAUGGGCGAAAGCCUGACGGAGCAACGCCGCGUGAGUGAUGAAGGUCUUCGUAUCGUAAAACUCUGUUAUUAGGGAAGAACAUAUGUGUAAGUAACUGUGCACAUCUUGACGGUACCUAAGCAGAAAGCCACGGCUAACUACGU
This 496-nucleotide ribosomal RNA is filed under the name uncultured bacterium. RNAcentral describes it as "partial 16S ribosomal RNA". It matches the Rfam family "Bacterial small subunit ribosomal RNA", at positions 28 to 506 of the family's 1533-position model. The record is from RNAcentral.